This is a long non-coding RNA of Triticum aestivum (bread wheat), 451 nucleotides long. RefSeq lists it as uncharacterized. The record is from RefSeq and is a predicted model, not a curated record. The transcript has 4 exons. Lineage: Eukaryota; Viridiplantae; Streptophyta; Magnoliopsida; Poales; Poaceae.
UUGCUGAUGAUGUUGAUUUUCACGCGCGGGAAUCCGAGGCUGCCGACACUACAGGGAUCCUCUCCCUUUUAUAUGCCAUGCUUCAGCUCCGUGCGCAAGCACUCUGUAACCUCGUUCCUCUCCUUUGCUCUCUAAGUCUCUAAGUACAGAGAGAAAAGAAAGCUCAGUAAGCACUUUCACUCGUGAUUUAGGGCGAUUUAGAGUUGGAUUUUGAGGAUGAUGAAGUUGAAGAAAAGAUAGAUUAAGGCAUUAUUUCAGCACUUGGAGGAGUCAUUUGGAGUUUCUGUAGUAGGAAUAGCCGUGCAAAGUGAACUACGAAGUUGAAGAUCAAGGUAAAAUAAUUCAUCUUAGUAUCAAACAAGGAGGAGAAGACGUGAUUGAAGAAAUUGUGUUUCCAUUUUCGCUGUCCCAUUUUGAGGUUGACGAGGUUCAUAUAGUACCGGCGACGGAU